Molecule: ribosomal RNA, 440 nt
Filed under: uncultured bacterium
Lineage: Bacteria
Description: partial 16S ribosomal RNA
Rfam family: Bacterial small subunit ribosomal RNA
Source: RNAcentral
CCUACGGGAGGCAGCAGUAGGGAAUAUUGCUCAAUGGGGGAAACCCUGAAGCAGCAACGCCGCGUGGAGGAUGAAGGUUUUCGGAUUGUAAACUCCUUUUGUUAGAGAAGACAAUGACGGUAUCUAACGAAUAAGCACCGGCUAACUCCGUGCCAGCAGCCGCGGUAAUACGGAGGGUGCAAGCGUUACUCGGAAUCACUGGGCGUAAAGGGCGCGUAGGCGGGAUAGCAAGUCAGAUGUGAAAUCCUAUGGCUUAACCAUAGAACUGCAUUUGAAACUGUUAUUCUAGAGUAUGGGAGAGGUAGGUGGAAUUCUUGGUGUAGGGGUGAAAUCCGUAGAGAUCAAGAGGAAUACUCAUUGCGAAGGCGACCUGCUAGAACAUAACUGACGCUGAUGCGCGAAAGCGUGGGGAGCAAACAGGAUUAGAUACCCCAGUAGUC